AGAGGGCGCCCACCAGCCUCUAUCCCUAGCCAGUUUCCCAGCAGGCCCCUGCCCCCUCAGACUGACACUUUAAAAUCAGCCAAUGAGUCUCUUUCACGUAAAGUCUGGGUGCUUUUCAAAGGGCUGCUUCUGUGCUGGGCCCACGAUUUUGUGCAUCUGUGGGAGGAAGUGAGUUCAGGAUCUUCCUACAUCGCCAUCUUGAACGGAAACCUCUAAAAAUCCUAAUAGUAAAGGGAACCAGAGCAUCUGAAUCAGCACGCUCAGAGGAACCAAGUUGAGUUUUAUGCCUAUGAAGAGCAAUUCCAUGGUUUGGUGACUCAUCUGGUGACUGGUCAUAAAUGAUGGCCACGAUUCAUCUAUACCUGUACGGAGAGCUUGGGAGGCAUUUCCAUAGGCUUACUGUCAAGUGAAUGUUAAAGCCCCCAUUCCCUGGGAAGCAAAGACUGUGUUUGUAUAUGGUGUGUUGAUUAAUAUGUCGCUGAGUGCAAAUCCUUUCUUACUGGUGUGAUUUGAACUGAGACAAAGAGUUCAAGGGUGAAGAAGUAAGACCCUACUUGGCUCUGCUUUUUAGCGCAUGGAGCAGAAAUACAUCCAUGAACAACUGCCUUCGCAAGUUGAUUACCGGGCAAUAUAAUUUCUCAGUUUUUAUGGGUAAAUGAGUGCUUCUCGUCAUGGACUAGCUUGCGCUUCAAUUUAGUCAGCUCUCUGAUCUUUUUGGAAUUUCUCCUGAUGUAUGAUGUGAAAAGUCGAUCCACUUUUAUUGUUUUCCAUGGCUAUCCUUGUUUAGCCACUCUAUUAAUUAAGGUGUCCACCUUAAUUGGACCAGUCCCUCACUGUAAGGAUGAAGGUUAUUGCUGUGUUCUUCUACUUCCCUAUGAAUUACUGGAAAGCAACUGUUUUAAACAAUGGCAGAAGGAAAGAAAGAAGAGGGGGAAAAAAUCUCUUGCAAUUUUUAGGGGGAAGAGUGGCGCACCGAGGAAAAGCUGUGACAAACUUUUCAUGUGUGCAGUCAUAGCCGGAUAUUGUGACAAAGAACGACGAAGAAAAUCAAGGCAGUGCAAUAGCAUAUUUAGACAUAACACAAAAUAAAAACCCUUCACCAAAGAGUUUCCACAGACUAAAUUAUUUUGGAUUCCGAAAAACUUAUUGUUG
This 1152-nucleotide long non-coding RNA is filed under the name Equus caballus (horse). RNAcentral's name for it is "lncRNA (ENSECAG00000045828.1)". Lineage: Eukaryota; Metazoa; Chordata; Mammalia; Perissodactyla; Equidae. The record is from RNAcentral.